AUAUAGGAAAAACUGUCAGCCAUAAAACAUUGCUUUCUUUUGUCCCCAAAGGGAUAUGUGAUUUUGUCCUGCCUUUGCUAAUUAAGAGUUGAAAUUGCUAAAAUGUUUCUUGUUGGCUAAACUAGAGAGAAGACAUUAUAAUUCAAUGGUGACUUUUAAGUUUUGAGAAUUAAGAUCUGUUGAGGUUUAUGUGAGAAGGGGAAAAGGCUUGUGAACUACAGACAUGUUUAUGAUUCUAUCAAAUCUAGUCAGCCACAGCCCAACCAGAGGCACAAUUAUGCAAACAACUCAGUUUCUAUCCCUUGGAAAUGUUGAUAAUGGGUCAUGUUUCCAGUACGCAGGACUCACUGCUCAGUUCCGUGGCAGCCUAAAGUCAAAAGCUUAUCAGAUACAGUCAACUUCACAGAGUAUUAGGGCUGGGAAGAUGUGUAGGGCAACUCCUUCAUUUCAUAAAUAAAGACACUGCAUCCCAGAGAAGUGAUUUGCCCAAAGGCAAACGAGAGUGUUUAGGAUGAGAAGCCACAUCUUCUGAGUCUCCACGUCCCUGACUCCAGUCUCUGUUGGUAGCAUCCAGCCAGUCACUCCACUGACAGACAUGAACUGGCACUGGGGUUCCAGGCGCUGUGCUAGCCCCUCAGCAGGGCUGCAGUAUCUUUGAUGCUCAGCUCUGAACAGGCACUGAGGGCUCUAAUAUGAAUGAUGCAUAGUUUCUUCCCUGCUGGAGCUUCCAGGCUAGUGAAGGGACCCAAGGAACUCAACAAGAGAGGAGUACAGAACCGGUGAAAACAAUUCUAGAAAAAUGUACAAGAUACUGUGGGGGCUCAGAGAAGGGGCCAUACAUACUCAGCCUUGGGGGUAGGAACCUAAAGGAAAUGGAGGUUUCAUGCAGGUAAGGGGAGCAAAGGAUAGACAACAGCCCAAGCAAGGCUGGGAGACAACCCCUUGAGGGUGAGCAGGUUCAGCCUGGGCAACCUCAGGGAAGCCAGACUAUACAGGGACAAACCACUGUGACUUUACGUGGGGCUACAGUGAGCAUGAGGUCAAGGCAAACACAUGGUAAGGCCAAGAAGUCCUAAGUGGGCAUCAGGAUCCACGCAAGAAUGAACAGAUCAGGGGAGAACCAGAAGAACAUCUCCUGGAGAGCAUAUAAGUGAAGUAGCCUGGCUGAGAUCUAAAGAGGCAGGCACAGAGACAGCCACUGAGAUCAUUCCCUGGGCUGUCCUUGUCCACUGGGGCCACGUGUAGCCCGAAGAUUAAGCUAGCUUGAGCUAUCACCCAACAACAGUCUUGUUUUUCUCGAGUUGUGAGCCCACGAGGACUGUAACUGAACAAGUGGGGAAGUCAGAGUCUAAACUAAAACUAACGCUAAUAAAUUUUUAUAACUGCUACCCAUUUUUCCCCUCUCUCCCUGCACUGAUAGAGGUGCCCCAAUAGAGGUGGGGACAGCAUAGCCUGGAGCCAAAGGUUCUGAGUUCAAAGCCCGCCCUGCUAGCAAGUAGCUUUUGACCCUUGGCAAAGCUGCUUUGAGCUCCCUGCCUCAGCUCCCUUAUCUACACUCUCAGAACUGUUAGAUUGGAUGAGAACGCACAGACGGUGUUUUUAACACAGUGCCUGGCAGAUAGCUGUGUUCUGUGAGGGGUACUGUUCUAUUCAAAAGGCCAGAUUUUAAGGGAAAGCCCCAUGUCAAUGUGGACGUUGUGGUGAGUUGUAUUUCCCAAAGAUGACUGCAUCAGAGUCUCACCUACAGGCUCUUCCUAUGAUGUGACUUUGACCUUCCCCUCAUCGAGAGAUGGGGUUCUAUAUUCCCUCCCCUUGAAUCCAGUCAGGCUUAUGAGCAGAGUGAAAGUGAGUUUGUGACUUCUGAAACUAUAUCACAGUGUGCCUCUUUUAGGAAUGCUUGCUCUUGGAAACCAGCCACCAUGCUGUGGGGAAGAGUGAGCCAUCACACAGAGAGGCCACUGGUCCAGUCAACAGCCCCAGUUGAGGUCCCAGCUGACAGCCAGUAUCAAAUUGCCAAAGAAGUGAACAAGUGAGCCUUCAGAUGUCAAAUUAUCUCAGCCUUUGCAUGUUCCCAGUGAAGGCCCUAGACAUCAUAGAGCAGAGACAAACAAUCCCACUGUGCCCUUUCCAAGUUCCUGAUCCACAGAAUCUGUGAGUCUGAUAAAAUGGUGGUUGUUUUAUGCCACUUAGUUUGGGUUUCUUACACAGCAAUAGAUAAUCAACAUGAUUGUUUUAAGGAGAUGGAAAGGUUUAAGAGUAGUGAAAAAGCAGGAUACAGGUUUCAAGAAGGCUAACCUGACUGCAGUAGGCUGAGACUGGAGGCAGGGGACCCAGGAGAAGACCACUGACAGAUACUAUGUGAUGUAAACCUGAAUAUUCGGGGGAGGUGGUUAGAGGGCACAAAUGAGAUGCAGCAGUUGAGGAAAAGAGACAAGUUCAAAUGACUCCAAGGUUUGAACUAACAGUGGAACCCCUAACAGAUUUAGGUUCAUCCAGAAAGGAACUAAUGUUCUCUUUUCUGGUGGGUAGUUGAGAUAGAGGAGAGGAAGUAAAUCUGAACGAUGUCAGGAUAAAAUAUGAAGUAUCAAGUGAGAAGUUAGAAAUUCAGGAUCAGAAUCUAAACACUGGUUUUGGUUAAAACCAUGAAAACGAAUGAGAUUACCUUUGAGAUUAAGUUGAGAAAAGGUCUGAACCCCAGUGAGUGCCUAUAUGUUUAGGGCAACAACAGGUGAGAGGGACCAGAGUUGAUCGUCAGUGACAGAGGCAGAAUUCUUGAGCAUAAUUUCACAACCAAGUUUUGAAAAGCUGUGAUCAUUAUCAGUACCACAUGUUGCAGAGAGGCCAAAGAGACAAAACGUUGAAACAAGGAACUGGAACCAGAAAGGAGACCAGGAAGGAACCCAAGAUCAGAGGUGGGCUCCUGACCAAAAACGGAAUGAGAAACACAAACUGAAGCAUGAAUGAAACGACACAAACCCUGCUCUGUACACAUCAGUGUCUCUGGUGUCUGUUCAGAUGGGCAGUUUCCUGUGAGUCUGAAAAGAGGAAGUGGUGGGAACUGUUAAAAUGAGGUGGUGAAAUGUACAUUUCUAAGCAUAUAAAGUGAGCACAGGAACACCUGCCACUUAUCUACCUCACAAAGAUAAAGUACAGAUUAGAUUCCAAUAAAGUGCUUUGAGUUCUCUAGCAUGGCAGUAGACCCGAUACCUAUCUUUCAGCCCUUUAAGAGGAACAGUUUUUAGCAUUUGUUGAACUGCACAACAUUCCUGGGAGGUAGAUAUUAUCGUUGGAUGAAGAAACAAAGGCCACACAGCAAGUCAAAAGCCAAGGCAAGAUUAGAACAGGGCCUGCCUUCCGUGUGGAGAAGUCCAGUUGGCUGGAUUCCUUUUGUGUCAGUAAUAGGUUCUUUGAUCUGUAACAUGGAAGAGGCUUGUUUGGGGGGAAGUUGUGAAAAUAGAUUCAUUAAUGACCACAAACUUCUCUGAAACUAAAGGGAACAUGGGAAAAAAGGUGCAGCCACCCAGAUUCUAGAAACAAUAAAAUAAAUUCCAGGAACAAUGGGACUCUAAGAACAGCACAGGAGAUCCAGGGCACUUCAGGAGAGUCCAUCUGGGCAGUGUCCAGACACUGGGGGGGCCUCGCAGAGGGGGCACAUCUUCCUUCUGCCUCUUCAGUCUUGGCAGACACAGCACAGAGAUGGCUGGCUUGGACUGGCACAGAGCAGCGACUGGAUUACUCACAGGCUGAGCUGCUUUAACUCCAGAUGUGAUACAUAUCAAAAGCUCUUUGGAGUCCUCAAUAAUUUGUAAGAGUAUAGAGGGGUCCAGAGACCAAAAGUUUGAAAACCACUGCUACACAGCACGGAAUCUAAAUGAAGAGAAGACAAAAGAAUAGGCUGUGCAGCUGGAUCACUCUCUAGGUGAGCAGGUACGACUCUCAAGACUAGCCACCAUGAAUUUCAUGGACUUCUCAGCUGGAAUCACCACCACCUGCCCCAGUGCAGCUGAGCUUGGUCAGGAGCAGACACUCCGAUGCUGGUCCUGUGAUGGGGAUAGGUUCUCUGGCCAGCGAGCUCUAAGGGCAGGCUACGACCCCAAAGCCCAGGAUCCAUGGGCUAAUCUGUCUUCCUGAGAAACACAUGAUGAAAGAAUGAACAGGUAUCAGCAGUGAGUGGCACCUUGUCCCAUGAAUAACCACUAUUUGUCAUUGUCAAAAAACCUAGAACUCAACCUGAACAGAGAAAAAUUCUGGAACCCAUGGGACAAGAUAAGGAGCUCUCAUAAUCCAGAAUAGAAAGCCAAGGGAAGAGUGACCACAACAAAAAUAACAACAGGACCAGCUUCAUGGGUGUGCAACCCAUACAAUUACACAGGACCCUCUGCUCAGAUAGGCCCCACACUUGGUUCAAUGCUCUGCUGUUACCAUGCAGAAAUGCUUAAUAAUUCAUCUUUGAACUUGUAUAUUUUAAGUAAAGUCCAAUGGAGCAUGAAUGUGAGCAGAGAAAAUACAGGCAGUAUGCAUGUUGCCAUUCCUAGUCACCUUAUUUGCAUAUGGUCCAUUUGAUGCCCUAUGAGUGCAGGAUUCUGGUGGGCCCACCAUGUGUGGGAGUUCAUCAAGACUCAGAGCAAGCACAAGGUAAGCAUGUCAUAUCUACGACUAGGUGAGGCUGCAGUC
Microcebus murinus (gray mouse lemur) is the source of this 4674-nucleotide non-coding RNA. Lineage: Eukaryota; Metazoa; Chordata; Mammalia; Primates; Cheirogaleidae. The record is from RefSeq and is a predicted model, not a curated record.